CACUAGAAAGCUAAAACAGGGAUACAGCGUUGGCCUUUUAAGCCAAAGAUUGGUGCCUCCUAACCACCUCUAGUGA
This 76-nucleotide transfer RNA is filed under the name Leptobotia elongata (royal clown loach). Its description in RNAcentral is "tRNA-Lys". It matches the Rfam family "tRNA". From Rfam's summary of the family: Transfer RNA (tRNA) molecules are approximately 80 nucleotides in length. Their secondary structure includes four short double-helical elements and three loops (D, anti-codon, and T loops). Lineage: Eukaryota; Metazoa; Chordata; Actinopteri; Cypriniformes; Botiidae. The record is from RNAcentral. RNAcentral also lists the same sequence under 1 other name.